Molecule: unclassified non-coding RNA, 1476 nt
Filed under: uncultured fungus
Lineage: Eukaryota; Fungi
Description: sequence contains 18S rRNA gene, ITS1, 5.8S rRNA gene, ITS2, 28S rRNA gene
Rfam family: Eukaryotic large subunit ribosomal RNA (bases 504-1476)
Source: RNAcentral
GGAAGGAUCAUUAACACUAAUCCACAACUACUCAACCAAGCCUUUAGUUGCAGCAGUAGUACUUGCAUGCGAAAGCAGGCAGUACAGCCGUUGCAACCACAACAAAACUAAUCAAACAAAGGAGCCUAACUAAGCUAAUCAACAAAACCAAAUUCUCAACGAUGGAUAUCUUGGUUCCCAUAACGAUGAAGAACGCAGCGAAGUGCGAUAAGCAAUGCGAAUUGCAGAACCGUGAGUCAUCAGAUUUUUGAACGCAACUGGCGCUAGUUGGUUAUCCAAUUAGCAUGCUUGUUUCAGUGUCUUUUUAUUUCCUCACCGAAAUCAUAAUGCGAGAGAUAACCUUCUCUUGUUAAGCAUGAAAGCACUCUGCGCUCUGCGAGCGACUUCGACUUGUCGAGGGUCGCACUCAAUGCAGCAGUCACAUUGUUUACAGUGUGAACUCAUUGAGAGUAGAGGCAGUGCGGCCUUACAGCUGCCAGUGCUUAGACACUCAAACUUUUCUUGUAUCUGAAAUCAAGCAGGAUCACCCGCUGAACUUAAGCAUAUCACUAAGCGGAGGAGAAGAAAUUAACUAAGAUUACCUCAGUAACGGCGAGUGAAGCGGUAAAAGCCCAAAAUGUAAAUCUUGUGCACUACGUGUACACGAAUUGUAAUCUAGAGAGAGUUCACUCAACGGGCGGGGGCGCAGAAGUGACCACGAACGGUCCGCCAGAGAGGGUGAAAGCCCCGUAUGUGGUGUCCCUGCUUAACGAGUGGGUUUUCGAAGAGUCGGGUUGUUUUGUAUUGCAGCCCUAAGUGGGAGAUAAACUUCUUCUAAGGCUAAAUAUUUAUGGGAAACCGAUAGCGAACAAGUACUGUGAAGGAAAGAUGAAAAGAACUUUGAAAAGAGAGUUAAAAGACUUGAAAUCGUUGAGAAGGAAGGAGUAGAAAUUUAUUCUUCGGCGUAGGCCGGUGGUAGUCGCCUAACCAUUGCUGGCUGAGAGUACGUAAAAGGCUCCGGUUAGCAUCUGGGGAAGUGGCUGCUUUGGUCUGCGUCGUGAGGCAAGAUGGGGUCGUGCGGCCACAAAGGCUUCAUACAAUUCGCUGCCUUCGGGCGGCAGUGUAGGUGUGCCGGUGGAAGCGCGGCCUGAGGAUGCUUCGGCGAUCUUGCCAAAAUGGUUUUUACUCACCCGUCUUGAAACACGGACCAAGGAGUCUAACAUACAUGCGAGUGUGCUAGUGGAAAAACUAACACGCGUAAUGAAGGUGAUUGAUGCCAAGCGCAAGCAGCAGCAUCGACCGACCAUGAUCCUCCGGUGAAAGGUUUGAGUAAGAGCAUGCAUGUUAGGACCCGAAAGAUGGUGAACUAUGCCUGAGUAGGGUGAAGCCAGGGGAAACUCUGGUGGAGGCUCGUAGCGGUACUGACGUGCAAAUCGUUCGUCAAACUUGGGUAUAGGGGCGAAAGACUAAUCGAACCAUCUAGUAGCUGGUUCCCUC